Molecule: ribosomal RNA, 301 nt
Filed under: uncultured bacterium
Lineage: Bacteria
Description: partial 16S ribosomal RNA
Rfam family: Bacterial small subunit ribosomal RNA
Source: RNAcentral
CAGUCGCCGCGGUAAUACGGAGGGUGCAAGCGUUAAUCGGAAUUACUGGGCGUAAAGCGCACGCAGGCGGUCUGUCAAGUCAGAUGUGAAAUCCCCGGGCUUAACCUGAGAACUGCAUUUGAAACUGGCAGGCUAGAGUCUUGUAGAGGGGGGUAGAAUUCCAGGUGUAGCGGUGAAAUGCGUAGAGAUCUGGAGGAAUACCGGUGGCGAAGGCGGCCCCCUGGACAAAGACUGACGCUCAGGUGCGAAAGCGUGGGGAGCAAACAGGAUUAGAUACCCCUGUAGUCCCUGUCUCUUAUAC